CUUCCAUUUGGACUGGGGAUCGCAUGGUGGUAUAAUUUGGCAGUCGUGCGGCAUAAUGCAAGAAAUGGUCCGUCCGGAGCCAUAAUGCCAGCACAUACAUCCGUAACAAAGCGAAGGCGUCGAAAUACUAUCUGCUGUAGCAAAUGCAUGCGUAUCAUUUGGGGCAUGUCUCGCUGCCGCCUGGAUUCGCAGGACAAACUCGAAACCUGUGCAUCCACUUUCAGACAUUUGAGUUUUGGUGCUUCCUGAAAGAUGAGCAUGGGCGAUCGUUAACAGCUCCUGACAGCUGCACUACUGGCACGGAAUGAUAUGGUUUUGCUUGUCUCAGGGUGGAUUUGCCACCAUUGGUGGUACUGUGGGGUGCCAUAAGGCUUAUGAAAAAGCUCUUGAUACUGGGUAGAGCAGUGCUGGUGAACCUGUGAAGUCUUGUUGGAAAUCAGUUACAGGUAAGAAGCUGUAGUAUAAAAUUCCAAACCUUGUUCAUUGUUGUGCCACAGCCCCAGCUCCAUACUGGAUAUUAAUUUCAGGUAUGGCGUUUUAUGCUGUGGAGAUGAAAAGCUGUUCAGCUAUAUUAUCCUUCUUCAAUAGCUGGGUAAUACGUAGUUCAGCAACACUGUCCUUAUGCUUUUGAUCGGGCUUGUGCCCUUUGUAAAU
This 654-nucleotide long non-coding RNA is filed under the name Schistocerca americana (American grasshopper). Its description in RNAcentral is "uncharacterized LOC124607070, transcript variant X2". Lineage: Eukaryota; Metazoa; Arthropoda; Insecta; Orthoptera; Acrididae. The record is from RNAcentral.